RNAcentral lists this signal recognition particle RNA (193 nucleotides) under Nicotiana sylvestris (wood tobacco). Its description in RNAcentral is "Plant signal recognition particle RNA". It matches the Rfam family "Plant signal recognition particle RNA", at positions 113 to 305 of the family's 305-position model. Lineage: Eukaryota; Viridiplantae; Streptophyta; Magnoliopsida; Solanales; Solanaceae. The record is from Rfam by way of RNAcentral.
CCAAGCAUAGAGUUGGGUCACGUGGCCCAAGCCAAGGCAUGGGCUGCUUGACUCCUAAAGUGGGGUGGACCGCGUGAGGCUGGUUUCACAGAGCAACGAACAGCUCCCGUUCUGUGCAGUGGAAGGAUAAUGGGCCGGUGCUUUCCAAGUCCAGCAACGCCUAAUGGGCUGCUCCAAUUAAACCACCAUUUUU